GUUUUAGCAUGCUAGCUAGCUCAAUGCUAGCGGGGUAUCCAGCUCUUCUCAUGACUUUUGUGGAUUAAGCAAAGUACAUUUUUUUACCACAGUGUCAGGAUCAGUCAUGUAAACCUGGGAUAAUUGUCCGUGAAUUGUCACUAGGGUUAAUCAAAUAUGUUAUAACCUAUAAGGUUUCUCAAUAUUUUUCAGGGUUUGUAACAGACAGAGGGAAUUAUUGAACAGAGAAACAAUAUUGCUGUGCCAUAUUAUUCAAAAUGUAUGCGUCUGCACUAUGCAGACUGGCAGAAGUCCGGUAUUCGAGUGAACCAGAGCAGAGUAAAUUGUAGCAGACCAGCAAAAACGUGUUUUAUUCCACUUAAAAUUAUUCCAGUAUUAGACAUCAAUAGAAUUAUUAGUAUAUUUAAUUGGGUGGUGGUUUUAAAAUUGACUAUUGCUGUAUGUCUGUUGUUUUCUAUAAGGGCCGUUGUUAUGCAUACCAUAACAAAAAAGGCAGGAAUACUGAGGCAGCUACGACGUGGAUGUCUACAACUUCUUUAAGAUGCAGGCCCCAAAGACGUCCCAGUGUGAUGCAAAGGCUGUCCAGCAGGCUCACAGACAUCUCCUGUCAACUGAAAGAGAAGCCUUUAAAAUAGUUGUCCAUUUUGACCACACUGUCUGCUUCCCAUUUCUUAGUGCCUGUACGAAAACAGUGACUUUUCCACCUCAAGUCUUUUAAGGAGUUUUAAAAACAGUUAUUUUAAUUUCUCUGAAUUGUGGUUCAGAAUUUCACAGAAUCUAAUGCACUUGACUCUGUGUUUCAGAGAUCUUUGCAAAACCAUCAGUCUUUUGUACAAAACACAUUCAAUGGUCAAACAUUAAAAAAUGAAGCUUUACAAAAUA
Non-coding RNA from Oryzias latipes (Japanese medaka), 882 nucleotides. The record is from RefSeq and is a predicted model, not a curated record. Lineage: Eukaryota; Metazoa; Chordata; Actinopteri; Beloniformes; Adrianichthyidae.